Molecule: ribosomal RNA, 253 nt
Filed under: uncultured bacterium
Lineage: Bacteria
Description: partial 16S ribosomal RNA
Rfam family: Bacterial small subunit ribosomal RNA
Source: RNAcentral
UACGUAGGGUGCAAGCGUUGUCCGGAAUUAUUGGGCGUAAAGAGCUCGUAGGUGGUUUGUCGCGUCUGCCGUGAAAGCCCGGGGCUUAACUCCGGGUCUGCGGUGGAUACGGGCAGACUAGAGGCAGGUAGGGGAGAACGGAAUUCCCGGUGUAGCGGUGAAAUGCGCAGAUAUCGGGAGGAACACCGGUGGCGAAGGCGGUUCUCUGGGCCUGUACUGACGCUCAUGCACGAAAGCGUGGGGAGCAAACAGG